RNAcentral lists this ribosomal RNA (913 nucleotides) under uncultured compost archaeon. Its description in RNAcentral is "bacterial SSU rRNA". It matches the Rfam family "Archaeal small subunit ribosomal RNA", at positions 1 to 922 of the family's 1478-position model. The record is from RNAcentral.
UUCCGGUUGAUCCUGCCGGAGGUCACUGCUAUCGGGGUUCGAUUAAGCCAUGCGAGUCGAGAGGGUUCAGACCCUCGGCGGACUGCUCAGUAACACGUGGAUAAUCUGCCCUAUGGUGGAGGAUAACCCCGGGAAACUGGGGAUAAUACUCCAUAAGUCAGGAGUACUGGAAUGUCUCCUAACUGAAAGUUUCGGCGCCAUAGGAUGAAUCUGCGGCCGAUUAGGUAGUUGUUGGGGUAACGGCCCAACAAGCCCGUAAUCGGUACGGGUUGUGGGAGCAAGAGCCCGGAGAUGGAAUCUGAGACACGAUUCCAGGCCCUACGGGGCGCAGCAGGCGCGAAAACUUUACAAUGCAGGAAACUGUGAUAAGGGAACCCCGAGUGCCCGUACACGCGGGCUGUCCCGGUGUUUAAAACACAUCGGGAGAAAGGGCCGGGCAAGACCGGUGCCAGCCGCCGCGGUAAUACCGGCGGCUCGAGUGGUGACCACUUUUAUUGGGCUUAAAGCGUUCGUAGCUUGAUUUUUAAGUCUCUUGGGAAAUCUCACGGCUUAACUGUGAGGCGUCUAAGAGAUACUGGGAAUCUAGGGACCGGGAGAGGUAAGAGGUACUUCAGGGGUAGAAGUGAAAUUCUGUAAUCCUUGAGGGACCACCGAUGGCGAAGGCAUCUUACCAGAACGGCUUCGACAGUGAGGAACGAAAGCUGGGGGAGCGAACGGGAUUAGAUACCCCGGUAGUCCCAGCCGUAAACUAUGCGCGUUAGGUAUGCCUGUAACUACGAGUUACCGGGGUGCCGAAGUGAAAACGUGAAACGUGCCGCCUGGGAAGUACGGUCGCAAGGCUGAAACUUAAAGGAAUUGGCGGGGGAGCACCACAACGGGUGGACCCUGCGGUUUAAUUGGAUUCAACGCCGGG